AGAGUUUGAUCCUGGCUCAGGAUGAACGCUGGCGGCGUGCCUAAUACAUGCAAGUCGAGCGAACGGACGAGAAGCUUGCUUCUCUGAUGUUAGCGGCGGACGGGUGAGUAACACGUGGAUAACCUACCUAUAAGACUGGGAUAACUUCGGGAAACCGGAGCUAAUACCGGAUAAUAUUUCGAACCGCAUGGUUCAAAAGUGAAAGACGGUCUUGCUGUCACUUAUAGAUGGAUCCGCGCUGCAUUAGCUAGUUGGUAAGGUAACGGCUUACCAAGGCAACGAUGCAUAGCCGACCUGAGAGGGUGAUCGGCCACACUGGAACUGAGACACGGUCCAGACUCCUAUGGGAGGCAGCAGUAGGGAAUCUUCCGCAAUGGGCGAAAGCCUGACGGAGCAACGCCGCGUGAGUGAUGAAGGUCUUCGGAUCGUAAAACUCUGUUAUUAGGGAAGAACAUAUGUGUAAGUAACUGUGCACAUCUUGACGGUACCUAAUCAGAAAGCCACGGCUAACUACGUGCCAGCAGCCGCGGUAAUACGUAGGUGGCAAGCGUUAUCCGGAAUUAUUGGGCGUAAAGCGCGCGUAGGCGGUUUUUUAAGUCUGAUGUGAAAGCCCACGGCUCAACCGUGGAGGGUCAUUGGAAACUGGAAAACUUGAGUGCAGAAGAGGAAAGUGGAAUUCCAUGUGUAGCGGUGAAAUGCGCAGAGAUAUGGAGGAACACCAGUGGCGAAGGCGACUUUCUGGUCUGUAACUGACGCUGAUGUGCGAAAGCGUGGGGAUCAAACAGGAUUAGAUACCCUGGUAGUCCACGCCGUAAACGAUGAGUGCUAAGUGUUAGGGGGUUUCCGCCCCUUAGUGCUGCAGCUAACGCAUUAAGCACUCCGCCUGGGGAGUACGACCGCAAGGUUGAAACUCAAAGGAAUUGACGGGGACCCGCACAAGCGGUGGAGCAUGUGGUUUAAUUCGAAGCAACGCGAAGAACCUUACCAAAUCUUGA
This 995-nucleotide ribosomal RNA is filed under the name Staphylococcus aureus VET0203R. RNAcentral's name for it is "bacterial SSU rRNA". It matches the Rfam family "Bacterial small subunit ribosomal RNA", at positions 8 to 984 of the family's 1533-position model. Lineage: Bacteria; Bacillati; Bacillota; Bacilli; Caryophanales; Staphylococcaceae. The record is from RNAcentral.